UCAACAGGGUGAACAGCAGAGGACUUAAGACACAGUCCUGAGAAGAACCUGUGCUCAAGAAAAUGGCGUUAGAAUUAUUUGUUCCAGCUCGCACAUAUUGGGGCCUGCUAUGCUUCAAGCUCAGACGGAGAACAGAAUAAAUAGCAUCCUCCGUGGAGUGAUGUGAUCAUAAGAUGAUCCCAGAGGAGCAGAGGACAUACUAAAAAGCAAGUAUUUACUUCAUUAGAAUCCACAUGCCCAAAGGAAUCCCAGGAAACACGGGAAGACAUUACCUCAGGAUUAAUACAUCCUGAAAAUCAAGCUUUGCUGAAUCUGAGCGAUUGUGCCAGGGAAGAGGUUUAAAAGCAAUUGCAAAAGGAUUUACCCUCUGCCCCCCAUUCCCCUCAAAAAAGACUUCUGGCCAACAACUUGUGUAAAGAAGGAAGAGAAGAAUACUUCAUUUACUGCCACAGUGUAGGCUUGAACUUUAGCUCAUGCCUAUGCUUAAUCUGAUUCACUUCUAGUUAUCUUCCAGGUGUUGUUUUUGUCACUUCAUUUCCUGCACUGCUCAGUAAACUAAGGAACCAACUGGAGUUGGCAAACAGACUUGGGAGUGAUUGAUUCAAGAGUGGCUCCUGUGGCCUGUAGCUACCAGACUGUUGGCGUUCUGUCUGAGGUCAAGCAUGUGCAUGCAUGGUGGGUAAAUGAGAUUUAUUAUAGAGAGGCAAAUAUAGGUAUUGGCAGACAAGGCAUGAAGUACAUGGAGAUAUAAUUCCCAAGCAGUUUCCAAGUCCUUAAGAGCUUGUCUGGGUGAGCUUCCUGGUAGUCAGACACUAAAAGAGCAAACAGAGGAAUAGUCUCAGUCAGAGUCUGAAGGACAGUGUAUUGCAGCAUGAUUGCCAGCCAAUCUGGGUCACAAAGAAGCAGAGUGUCCAUGAACAAGAUUUAGAGGAAGCAAAUGCAUAGAAUGUUGCUGUUUCCAAAAAAACAACAACACCUGAUGGGUAGUGAUGGUUUUUAAAUAGAGCUGGCAACCUGUGCAGGUAAUCAAAGAUGGGGAUUCCCUUGAUGGCGAGAGGCUGUGAAGGAUGUCUUUACCCUACUUAGCAAACUUGGUGACAUACCACUAGGGUGGAUCUUGGAUCUGAUCUCUCAUCACUUUAUGCCACCAGCUUCUUAGCAUGUUCCCCUAGAGCAGGGGUGUCAAACUA
Crotalus tigris (Tiger rattlesnake) is the source of this 1190-nucleotide long non-coding RNA. RefSeq lists it as uncharacterized. Lineage: Eukaryota; Metazoa; Chordata; Lepidosauria; Squamata; Viperidae. The record is from RefSeq and is a predicted model, not a curated record. The transcript has 3 exons.